GGAGAGUUGGUAGAGUGGUCGAUUACAUCAGUCUUGAAAACUGAAGGUGGUAAAACAUCCAAGGGUUCGAAUCCCUUACUCUCCU
RNAcentral lists this transfer RNA (85 nucleotides) under Clostridium perfringens. RNAcentral describes it as "tRNA-Ser". It matches the Rfam family "tRNA". From Rfam's summary of the family: Transfer RNA (tRNA) molecules are approximately 80 nucleotides in length. Their secondary structure includes four short double-helical elements and three loops (D, anti-codon, and T loops). Lineage: Bacteria; Bacillati; Bacillota; Clostridia; Eubacteriales; Clostridiaceae. The record is from RNAcentral.